AAUAUUUGACAAUGGGCGAAAGCCUGAUCCAGCCAUGCCGCGUGUGUGAAGAAGGUCUUCGGAUUGUAAAGCACUUUAAGUUGGGAGGAAGGGCAGUAAGUUAAUACCUUGCUGUUUUGACGUUACCGACAGAAUAAGCACCGGCUAACUUCGUGCCAGUAGCCGCGGUAAUACGAAGGGUGCAAGCGUUAAUCGGAUUUACUGGGCGUAAAGCGGCGGUAGUUGGUUUGUUAGGUUGGAAGUGAAAGCCCGGGGCUAAACCUGGAACCGGCUUGAAAAACUGGAAAGCUGAGGUAGGGCAGAGGGUGGUGGAAUUUCCUGGGUACCGGUGAAAGGCGUGAAAAUAGGAAGAAACACAAGUGGCGAAGGCGACCACCUGGCUAAUACUGACACUGAGGUGCGAAAGCGUGGGGAGCAAACAG
This 422-nucleotide ribosomal RNA is filed under the name uncultured bacterium. RNAcentral's name for it is "partial 16S ribosomal RNA". It matches the Rfam family "Bacterial small subunit ribosomal RNA", at positions 360 to 775 of the family's 1533-position model. The record is from RNAcentral.